GACGAACGCUGGCGGCGUGCUUAACACAUGCAAGUCGAACGGAAAGGCCCAGCUUGCUGGGUGCUCGAGUGGCGAACGGGUGAGUAACACGUGGGUGAUCUGCCCCUAACUUCGGGAUAAGCUUGGGAAACUGGGUCUAUUACCGGAUAGGCCAACCGUUUGGUGUCGGUUGUGGAAAGUUUUUUCGGUUAGGGAUGAGCCCGCGGCCUAUCGGCUUGUUGGUGGGGUAAUGGCCUACCAAGGCUCCGACGGGUAGCCGGCCUGAGAGGGUGGACGGCCACAUUGGGACUGAGAUACGGCCCAGACUCCUACGGGAGGCAGCAGUGGGGAAUAUUGCACAAUGGGCGCAAGCCUGAUGCAGCGACGCCGCGUGGGGGAUGACGGCCUUCGGGUUGUAAACCUCUUUCGACAGGGACGAAGCUUUGGUGACGGUACCUGUAUAAGAAGCACCGGCUAACUACGU
This 463-nucleotide ribosomal RNA is filed under the name uncultured bacterium. RNAcentral's name for it is "partial 16S ribosomal RNA". It matches the Rfam family "Bacterial small subunit ribosomal RNA", at positions 28 to 506 of the family's 1533-position model. The record is from RNAcentral.